RNAcentral lists this ribosomal RNA (253 nucleotides) under uncultured prokaryote. RNAcentral describes it as "partial 16S ribosomal RNA". It matches the Rfam family "Bacterial small subunit ribosomal RNA", at positions 525 to 777 of the family's 1533-position model. The record is from RNAcentral.
ACGUAGGCAGCAAGCGUUGUUCGGAAUUACUGGGCGUAAAGAGUGUGUAGGUGGUGUCGUAAGUUUGGUGUGAAAUCUCCCGGCUUAACUGGGAGGGUGCGCCGAAGACUGCGAUGCUGGAGUAUGGGAGAGGAAAGCGGAAUUCCUGGUGUAGCGGUGAAAUGCGUAGACAUCAGGAGGAACACCUGCGGUGUAGACGGCUUUCUGGACCAUUACUGACACUGAGGCACGAAAGCGUGGGUAGCAAACAGGA